AGCAACAACCCGCAGCAUGAUGGGUGAAAUUACAGAGAAGAAGCCCCAUACGAUCCUUGCUGGAUGAGAUGUGUUGUCUUCCAGGGCCCAUUUUAUUUUAAUUAAAAUUGAAAGGCUCCUCUAAACAAGGCCCUAGAUUAAGCAGAGGCCAGAGCAAGCUGCUGUAAAGCCAUCACAGCUGCAUUCCUUAAUGUUGCCUUUUUAACCUGAAUGGAUUAUUUGUGUUUUUCCCCCCAAAUAAACAAGGCAGCAUGGGAUCCUGGUAUCCAUCCAUAAACACUAGUUGAAGAGACACAAGUUUCUUCACAUAAGAAUCUUUGUUUAAGGAGCUUGGGGAAGAAUUUCCCACAGUUUUUGACAUGAGAUUUAACUCUCUACCCUAGCCUGGGAUUGAACUCACCAUAUGUAGCAUAGGCUGAUGUUGAAUUCACAGCCAUUCUCCAGCCUCAGAUUCCCAAAGGCUGGGUUCACAGGUUCCUGAGGAGACCAAAGGCAUGAGAUUCUCUGGAGUUGAAGCUACAGCCUGUGGUGAUGGAGGUGCUGGUGACCUAACUCAGGAACUCUUCAAGAGAAAUCCAUGGAACUCAUUCCCAGACCCUCAUAGCUUUCCUGUGUGUGCAGAACAGGACAGAACAUAACUUAGAUGUGUCCUAUGGAGAAGAGAAAAAACAUCUGCAUUUGUUGUAACAGGAAGCCUGCCAUUUAAGUGUAUUUUCUCUACUCCUUCUCAUUUUGUGUUGCUUUAAUGAUUAGGAAGAACCCCACCUUACCUUACUGUGUGUUCAUGAGGCAUGGAAGAAGGACCACAUA
Mesocricetus auratus (golden hamster) is the source of this 810-nucleotide long non-coding RNA. RefSeq lists it as uncharacterized. Lineage: Eukaryota; Metazoa; Chordata; Mammalia; Rodentia; Cricetidae. The transcript is spliced from 3 exons. The record is from RefSeq and is a predicted model, not a curated record.